Molecule: ribosomal RNA, 279 nt
Filed under: uncultured bacterium
Lineage: Bacteria
Description: partial 16S ribosomal RNA
Rfam family: Bacterial small subunit ribosomal RNA
Source: RNAcentral
UGCCAGCCGCCGCGGUAAUACGGAGGGUGCAAGCGUUGUUCGGAAUUAUUGGGCGUAAAGAGCAUGUAGGCGGGCUGUUAAGUCUGAUGUGAAAGCCCGGGGCUCAACCCCGGAAGUGCAUUGGAUACUGGCAGUCUUGAGUAUGGGAGAGGAAAGUGGAAUUCCGAGUGUAGGAGUGAAAUGCGUAGAUAUUCGGAGGAAAACCAUUGGCGAAGGCGGCUUUCUGGAACAAUACUGACUCUGAGGUGCGAAAGCGUGGGGAGAGAACAGGAUUAGAUA